RNAcentral lists this long non-coding RNA (805 nucleotides) under Nicotiana benthamiana. RNAcentral describes it as "long non-coding RNA (NBEN_LNC041042)". The record is from RNAcentral. Lineage: Eukaryota; Viridiplantae; Streptophyta; Magnoliopsida; Solanales; Solanaceae.
GGAAAGAGCCGUUAGAGAGAGAGUACCCAGAUAAACCAUGAUGCAUAUGAUAUCAGUAAUGAUGAUUUCCUAUCAUGGUCUAAAUAGGAAGGAUACUGAUUAGCUUCCUAGAAAUGUUCUGGAUCUCCAUUUUCCUGUAUGUUGAGCCACUUUGCCAGACGUUACCUCUUCUUUUUUAUCUUCCUUAAUUUCCAUUGCUUUGAACCACUACAUCUCAGCUAUUUAGGUUACAGUCCCAUGUUAACAGAUAUUUUUACCAUAAGUCUUCUUGCCUUGCUUCAUCUCAGUUUUACCAAUCUUGUUUGUCUAUUUCUUACAUGAUUUAAAAAAAAAGAAAAAGAAAUGUCAAAAUAUUGUGCCUGUAUAUGAUGUUAAGCAUUUUAAUGUAUAAUAGCCUAAUUUACUUAUUAUUAUGACAUGGGCUACCAGGCUAGGAGUACCAAUCGAUAAAUUGUUAUUUAUCAUACUCCCUAUGUUUCAUUUUACGUGACACUUUCAUUUUAGUCUUUUCAAAAAAGAAUGAUACCUUUCUCUGUUUUGAAACUAUUAAAAGUUAGCAUUCUAAUUUUACCCUUAAUGACAUGACUUGUUUGGACUUACUUAUAUAGAAGAUCAUUCUGUCGAUAGGAUAGAGAAAAUGAAAGGACAUGGAAUUCUCACGAAUCAAUUAAUUACUGAUAGCAAGGACAAUUUUUGAUACUUUGCGUAUAUUUAGCUUGUGUCAGAAGUCCCUUUAUUUCUUAAAACUUUGUAUCCAGUGAAACACCUUCACGUAAAUGGGAUGGAGAGAGUACUUUGUUUUAGG